UUCAUCCGACUAUUUUACAUUCUGAAUUUCUGACUUGUUACGUUCCCAGAAAUUGAACAGUCGCAAAGAAAAAAUAUAAAGGAUCCAGUUCAUAACCCAUCUCUUGACAUCACUGCAAGCAAGAUGCCAAACAACAAGAUUUGUGUUGAUAUCAUGGCUACAACUUCAUCUCGUUUGGACAUAGAGAAGUUCAAUGGAAUGGGUUAUGAGUUGUGGAAGCUGAAAAUGGAAGAUCUCCUUGAAGAAUGAGAUCAGCGAUGGCUGUAACAAAUAAAGGGAAAUCUAAUAAACUUUCUAGUGAAAACUAUAGAGGAGGAGCAUUUAUCGAUUUCAAUAUCCUUCUCACAAAUGUCGAUUGAUAUAUAUAUAUAUAUGCUCAUCAAGCAAUACCUUGACCGGUCAUGUCUAUUAGACAUGAUCGAUCAAGAUAUUACUUGAUCACACCUUUCAAUUAUCAUUGUAUUUACCGAUCGGUGUAUUUAACAAGUCACUCGAUACUAAUCAGCGUGUAUACCAUAAGCAAAUCACCUGAUACUAAUCGGCGUGUAUACCAUAAGCAAGUCAACCGAUAACAAUCGGUGUAUAUAGUUAUAAACUAUACCCGAUAACAAUUGUUGUUCAUACGAUUCAAUGUGAAUUGAUACCAAUCGGUAUUCUGUGCUA
Cryptomeria japonica (Japanese cedar) is the source of this 663-nucleotide long non-coding RNA. RefSeq lists it as uncharacterized. Lineage: Eukaryota; Viridiplantae; Streptophyta; Pinopsida; Cupressales; Cupressaceae. The transcript has 3 exons. The record is from RefSeq and is a predicted model, not a curated record.